UACGUAGGGUGCAAGCGUUGUCCGGAAUUAUUGGGCGUAAAGAGCUCGUAGGCGGCUUGUCGCGUCGGCUGUGAAAACCUGGGGCUCAACCCCGGGCCUGCAGCCGAUACGGGCAAGCUAGAAUUCGGUAGGGGAGACUGGAAUUCCUGGUGUAGCAGUGAAAUGCGCAGAUAUCAGGAGGAACACCGGUGGCGAAGGCGGGUCUCUGGGCCGAUACUGACGCUGAGGAGCGAAAGCGUGGGGAGCGAACAGG
RNAcentral lists this ribosomal RNA (253 nucleotides) under uncultured bacterium. RNAcentral's name for it is "partial 16S ribosomal RNA". It matches the Rfam family "Bacterial small subunit ribosomal RNA", at positions 524 to 776 of the family's 1533-position model. The record is from RNAcentral.